GGAUCACGGUCUGUCAGCGCCGGGGCCGCCCCGCCGACCCUCGCCGGGAGCCGGGUACCCUGGGCACGGCGGCAGCACCCUCCGGCCGAGGGCAGCACCCGCACGGAGCCGAGAAUCCAGGGUGGGGUGAGGCCCAACAGUGGUACUGUCCCAGGCGAAGAAACGGGAGCAGGCAACUAAAGAACGAACAAAGAGAAUCGAUUUAUUUUUCUUUUCUUUUUUUAGUGUAUGGCUCAAAAACCAAGGUUUUGUAUAGUAAGUAAACUUAAAAAAGAGCUUGCUGACUCUGGUGUUUCUCUCCAGGCUCACUCUCUGUAAAGACAAGUGAAGGUGUCUUUCCAUACGAUAAACAAAGGCAUUUCAUACAGAUGCAAGGUGAAGCUUAGUUCAUGGACAUUUUGCUUCAUUCUUGUUCAUCCAGCUUAAAUCGAAUGCAGAGUUGGUGGCGCUGACGACUGUGAAAGAUUCCUGACAUUUACCAAUAUAAAGGCUGUGUUUAUAGAUGCCUGUGACUGUCAAACAUCAGCUGAAAUUUUCCAUCCAAAUGCUCUUUUCACACAGGGCCCACACAGCAUUAUUUUUGCCAGGACAAACACUCUUGGUGGAGAGUGGGAGAAAAUAGUCAGGAGAGCUGGGGAAAAUAGUCAUGUAACCUCGAUGUGAUUCUUGUGCUUAGGAAACCCCUGGUGUAGGCCUGCAUUUAAGCAGGCAAACAUAAUUUUGUAAGGCAUUUAUCUCAUUUCUAUGAAAGUCUGCUCAUACAGCUGUUAAAAGGCCAGUGGAGUGUUAUGGUUCAACAAAGCAAGGUGUUAACUGCAAUGAUAGGAGGUGGUCAGGCAAACGGGAUAAAAUCUUUUUGUCUUCUACAGCGUUCUAAGAGUUCAUUCAAUAGCUCAUUCAGUAGUUCAUUCACUAGUCCAGUAAGAGUCAGUGAGAGUCACCUGCUGAAUGGUUACCAAAGGAACUCAGUCAUGGUUUUGAGCCCUAUUUCUGCAGGCUUUUUAGUCGUUCAUAGCAGAGUUUCUACAGAUACAUUUGUUUGGCAGGUACGACUGCUGUCACAGUAAAACACUCUACAUGCUAUGGUAGGCAAGGCCCAAGAGUUUAGUUUAAACAAAGUAAUCUGUUUAAGCAGAUAAAAGACUUCUAGCUCUGUUGGCAGAAUACCUUAUAGUGGGCCAUGUACUGCAUUAGAUGGUCAGAGCAUGUACAGGAAAACAGUAAUCUCAUCUCUUACUUUAGACCUCCUAGUCUGUAGUCAUGAUUGUGGCUUUCUAUACUGAUUCAGAAUGCAUUUUAAACAGCAAAAGGGAAAAAUCUACCCUAUCAAAACGCCAGUUCUCCUAUCCCUAAUAUGAAUAAGUUAAGCACAAUUUAAAUGAGGUAUCUUAAAGAAUUUUGGGCACUGCCAGCAAUGAAACCAUGACCACUAUGCAAUGAAACCAUUGCAUAGUGUGCAUUAGUGAGAGUUGAAAUAAAAUCACAUAACUGCUAUUUACCAGAGCACGUACCCAACAAGGAAACAGCAACAAAGAUGGAAAGCAUUAGAAAGAACAGAUAAGAUCCAAAUAAAGGAAAACACAUGACCAAAGUAAGAAGAAAUGUGAUAAUCUUUGAAAUAAAGAACUGACUGCAUUUUUCAUAUGGAUAGAGGAAUUGGGUUGAGCAUUUGGAAGAAAAAUAUAUCAAUUUUAAUCAAUUUUUAAAACUCUGCAAACACUGACAUUCUCAGAAUGUAGAUCUUAAGAGCAAUGAUCAAUGACAAUUUUUCAGAAUUGCUUGUCUCCACAUGUGUAAUUUAUGUACAGUAAUGAAAAACUGUGUUUUAUAGUUUUUCAGGCUUUGCCCUGACAAAGGCACUACCAGAAGUGUAAUGAGUUGUACUGACCACUGCAAAUUUUUUAGUUCAAACUCAAGCUCUGCUUCAGCACCCAGAUUAGCGUUAUGUUGAUGCAUUUAUCCAUGGGUCCAAUUUUUUCAUGCACUGAACUGGGAAUUGGGUUGUUGCCUGUGUGGACUUGAAGGAAAGAAGUGUGUCCCAUUGCAACAGAACUUUAUAGCCCCAGUUACUUCUAAUUCAGUUGACCUGGUGACCUGGAGUGUCCUCUCUACAAGAUGGCAGAAAACACUAAUGGAUUUUCUUGAAGGUAGAUUAUGGAAGCCCAGCCCAGUUCUGAUUUGAUGCCAACACACAGGAAAUUGCUGUGCUCAUGACAUUUCCUUUCUGUUAAGGAAAAGUAUUUUGUAUUGGUUUACAGAUGUUGCAGAGGAAUUGAACCAGUGCCAUUAAUUAAACAAGUUUUUGCUCACAAUUCAUCACUAGUAUAAUAACUUGAGUUUUAGAUGGAAAUAUAUUUUUACAGUUGUUUCAUGCAAUAUGUGUUCCAGAUAGAAAUGUAGUUCUCAAAAUUAAUUCAGCCAUUCCCCAUGGUGCCAUGUUUUGAAGUUCAAAUUCUCAUCCUGCCAAUGAGCUGGAUACUCCAGUUCCUCUUAUAGUUCAGUUACCAUAUGAAGAACAGCAUGCACUUAUUCUAAGUUGUUAACCUGAGCUAUUGAAACAAAAAAAUGAUGUAAAAAUAAGAUUUUAAUUUAUUUAAACCACUCAAAAAAAUACAAUUCAGUUAAUAUAUUGUUUUGCAGGUAAGAACAAAACCACUUUUAAACCACAGUGUUUCCAAAUGAGGUAUUUUCUGCUUCUUCUUCUUCUUAAA
Molecule: long non-coding RNA, 2711 nt
Organism: Cyanistes caeruleus (blue tit)
Lineage: Eukaryota; Metazoa; Chordata; Aves; Passeriformes; Paridae
Source: RefSeq, a predicted model, not a curated record